GACGAACGCUGGCGGCGUGCUUAACACAUGCAAGUCGAACGCUGAAGCUCAGCUUUUGUUGGGUGGAUGAGUGGCGAACGGGUGAGUAACACGUGAGUAACCUGCCUCCUUCUUUGGGAUAACGCCCGGAAACGGGUGCUAAUACUGGAUAUUCACUGGUCUUCGCAUGGGGGUUGGUGGAAAGGGUUUUUCUGGUGGGGGAUGGGCUCGCGGCCUAUCAGCUUGUUGGUGGGGUGAUGGCCUACCAAGGCCUUGACGGGUAGCCGGCCUGAGAGGGUGACCGGUCACAUUGGGACUGAGAUACGGCCCAGACUCCUACGGGAGGCAGCAGUGGGGAAUAUUGCACAAUGGGCGCAAGCCUGAUGCAGCGACGCCGCGUGAGGGAUGGAGGCCGUCGGGUUGUGAACCUCUUUCGCUCAUGGUCAAGCCGCAACAAUGGUUGUGGUGAGGGUAGUGGGUAAAGAAGCGCCGGCUAACUACGUG
RNAcentral lists this ribosomal RNA (483 nucleotides) under uncultured bacterium. RNAcentral describes it as "partial 16S ribosomal RNA". It matches the Rfam family "Bacterial small subunit ribosomal RNA", at positions 28 to 507 of the family's 1533-position model. The record is from RNAcentral.